AGAAUACUCUGGUUGAGGAGGAUCUUCAGCCUGAUGAACCAUUUCUUCAGCCUGCUGAGCCAGCCAGCUGGGUUAUAGGCUAUGGCCAGAUGUGGCGGGAAAUGACCGAGCAAGAUGGCCCUGUGCUUUGCAGCAACAUGCCCAUCAUACACUCCGGUUCUGGUUCCAGAGACCAUUUCCCAGCUGAAUGGGCCCUUGACCACCUGAUGGAGGAGCAGAGGGCAUCAGUGAACAAGGAGGGACCAGUCAGUGAGAGGGAAAAUAUGGAGGAGACUGAGGCCAAAGAGGAUGUGCAGCCUGGUGAACCAGCAAGCUGGGUUGUGGCCUAUGGCCAGAUGUGGCAGGAAAUGACUGAGCAAGAUGGUCCUGUGCUUUGCAGCAACAUGCCCAUCAUAUAC
Long non-coding RNA from Alosa alosa (allis shad), 398 nucleotides. RefSeq lists it as uncharacterized. The record is from RefSeq and is a predicted model, not a curated record. Lineage: Eukaryota; Metazoa; Chordata; Actinopteri; Clupeiformes; Clupeidae. The transcript has 4 exons.